UAGGGAAUCUUCCGCAAUGGGCGAAAGCCUGACGGAGCAACGCCGCGUGAGUGAUGAAGGUCUUCGGAUCGUAAAACUCUGUUAUUAGGGAAGAACAAAUGUGUAAGUAACUAUGCACAUCUUGACGGUACCUAAUCAGAAAGCCACGGCUAACUACGUGCCAGCAGCCGCGGUAAUACGUAGGUGGCAAGCGUUAUCCGGAAUUAUUGGGCGUAAAGCGCGCGUAGGCGGUUUUUUAAGUCUGAUGUGAAAGCCCACGGCUCAACCGUGGAGGGUCAUUGGAAACUGGAAAACUUGAGUGCAGAAGAGGAAAGUGGAAUUCCAUGUGUAGCGGUGAAAUGCGUAGAUAUAUGGAGGAACACCAGUGGCGAAGGCGACUCUCUGGUCUGUAACUGACGCUGAGGUUCGAAAGCGUGGGUAGCAAACAGG
RNAcentral lists this ribosomal RNA (429 nucleotides) under Bacteroidota bacterium. RNAcentral's name for it is "Bacteroidetes bacterium partial 16S ribosomal RNA". It matches the Rfam family "Bacterial small subunit ribosomal RNA", at positions 355 to 776 of the family's 1533-position model. Lineage: Bacteria; Pseudomonadati; Bacteroidota. The record is from RNAcentral.